This 24-nucleotide non-coding RNA is filed under the name Arabidopsis thaliana (thale cress). Lineage: Eukaryota; Viridiplantae; Streptophyta; Magnoliopsida; Brassicales; Brassicaceae. The record is from RNAcentral.
UAUUCCAAUAUGCUAUGCCACAUC